RNAcentral lists this ribosomal RNA (253 nucleotides) under uncultured bacterium. RNAcentral describes it as "partial 16S ribosomal RNA". It matches the Rfam family "Bacterial small subunit ribosomal RNA", at positions 524 to 776 of the family's 1533-position model. The record is from RNAcentral.
UACAGAGGGUGCGAGCGUUAAUCGGAAUUACUGGGCGUAAAGCGUGCGCAGGCGGUUGAUUAAGUCUGAUGUGAAAGCCCCGGGCUCAACCUGGGAAUGGCAUUGGAAACUGGUCAGCUGGAGUGUGGCAGAGGGGGGUGGAAUUCCGCGUGUAGCAGUGAAAUGCGUAGAGAUGCGGAGGAACACCGAUGGCGAAGGCAGCCCCCUGGGCCAACACUGACGCUCAGGCACGAAAGCGUGGGGAGCAAACAGG